UACGUAGGGGACAAGCGUUAUCCGGAUUUAUUGGGCGUAAAGGGAACGCAGGCGGUCUUUUAAGUCUGAUGUGAAAGCCUUCGGCUUAACCGGAGUAGUGCAUUGGAAACUGGGAGACUUGAGUGCAGAAGAGGAGAGUGGAACUCCAUGUGUAGCGGUGAAAUGCGUAGAUAUAUGGAAGAACACCAGUGGCGAAAGCGGCUCUCUGGUCUGUAACUGACGCUGAGGUUCGAAAGCGUGGGUAGCAAACAGG
Molecule: ribosomal RNA, 253 nt
Filed under: uncultured bacterium
Lineage: Bacteria
Description: partial 16S ribosomal RNA
Rfam family: Bacterial small subunit ribosomal RNA
Source: RNAcentral